Molecule: unclassified non-coding RNA, 90 nt
Filed under: Pseudomonas thivervalensis
Lineage: Bacteria; Pseudomonadati; Pseudomonadota; Gammaproteobacteria; Pseudomonadales; Pseudomonadaceae
Source: RNAcentral
UGUGGGAGCGAGCUUGCUCGCGAUGGCGGUGUGUCAGUCAAUAUCAGUAUUGACUGAUCGGCCGCUAUCGCGAGCAAGCUCGCUCCCACA